Molecule: unclassified non-coding RNA, 479 nt
Filed under: Hevea brasiliensis (rubber tree)
Lineage: Eukaryota; Viridiplantae; Streptophyta; Magnoliopsida; Malpighiales; Euphorbiaceae
Source: RNAcentral
UGUAAACUAUGUUACAUGUACCACUCCCAUCUUCCUUUAUCACUUCUAACAAACAAAAAACUUGAUCGAAUUAUUGGCACUAAAUGUUUUACAACACGAAAUAACCAUAAAUCUACAAGGCAUACCUGAUGUUACAGCUGCAAUGUGGAACCUAUAACUACACCAACCAUGACCUUAAUGCAAUACAAUUGUUAAGCAGACGACUUACAAGUCCCAUGCACAUGGAUCAUAGUCACUUGUCAAGAAAACUUAUCAGGUGGCGUCAUGGAGUUGAUCUCCAAAAUAACAUUCCGGAGGGGCAAUCUAUUGCUCUCAUUCCAUCAUUCACGUGGCCGAGCCAACCAGAGAGAACUAAGGGCUCGAAGCCUAGAGAAAUAAUCAUUUAUUGCCAGAAGGGCACGGGCCGACUGCCGGGUUGUCAAUACACGGUGCAUUUGUUCAAGUGUUUGCUGUCUCAGAUUAUCAGCCUGGCGAAGGAA